CUUCUGUCGAGCGAGCUGCGUCAGCGCAGCCAGCCCGGCAGGCCCAGGCAGGAGCCCAGCCUCGCCACACGGCACCGUCGUAUGGCUUUCAUGGACGUCCGCACCUAGCCAGAACAGCUCAGCUCAGCUCAGCUCCUAGGAAGCUUCAGCCCUGCUUAAUUAGAGACUAUAUCCUGGAACGAGUUGCCCAGCAAGCUGAUGGAGGCCAUAUCUCUGCAGACAAUUCAGGGUCAAAAUUGAUGGGGCCCUGCCCACAGCAGCGGGGUUGGACAAGGCACAGGGUGGGGAUGGACUUCUGCAAUGAAGCAAGAGAGUCAUCUAUGAGGCCAAGUCUACUGUAAUGGUAAAGUUUAUUGCUUAUUCAGUGAGGUGAUGCUCUUGUCAGUCAAGAAGGACUUAGUUGCAGAGGCUUUAGAAAUACUUUGAUGUAAGCUUGUUGCUAUGCUGUGCCUAGUGUAUCUAUUGUCACUAUCUAUAACUGGGCUUAAACCAAAUGAACUUCUUGAUUAAAACAGCCAAUCAUGUCUGCCA
Pogoniulus pusillus (Red-fronted tinkerbird) is the source of this 531-nucleotide long non-coding RNA. RefSeq lists it as uncharacterized. NCBI's taxonomy places the organism in Eukaryota, Metazoa, Chordata, Aves, Piciformes, Lybiidae. The record is from RefSeq and is a predicted model, not a curated record. The transcript is spliced from 2 exons.